CCUACGGGAGGCAGCAGUGAGGAAUAUUGGUCAAUGGGCGCUAGCCUGAACCAGCCAAGUAGCGUGAAGGAUGACUGCCCUAUGGGUUGUAAACUUCUUUUAUAGGGGAAUAAAACGCGGUACGUAUACCUCUUUGCAUGUACUUUAUGAAUAAGGAUCGGCUAACUCCGUGCCAGCAGCCGCGGUAAUACGGAGGAUCCGAGCGUUAUCCGGAUGUAUUGGGUUUAAAGGGAGCGUAGGUGGGUGGUUAAGUCAGUUGUGAAAGUUUCCGGCUAAACCGUAAAAUUGCAGUUGAUACUGGAGGGCUGGAGUACAGGUGAGGAAGGCGGAAUUCAUGGUGUAGCGGUGAAAUGCUUAGAUAUCAUGAAGAACUCCGAUCGCGAAGGCAGCUUACCGAACUGCAACUGACACUGAUGCUCGAAAGUGUGGGUAUCAAACAGGAUUAGAUACCCCUGUAGUC
RNAcentral lists this ribosomal RNA (460 nucleotides) under uncultured bacterium. RNAcentral's name for it is "partial 16S ribosomal RNA". It matches the Rfam family "Bacterial small subunit ribosomal RNA", at positions 338 to 795 of the family's 1533-position model. The record is from RNAcentral.